RNAcentral lists this unclassified non-coding RNA (252 nucleotides) under Hevea brasiliensis (rubber tree). The record is from RNAcentral. Lineage: Eukaryota; Viridiplantae; Streptophyta; Magnoliopsida; Malpighiales; Euphorbiaceae.
CUGCCCAAAGAUCUGUUGGAUGAAGUUGCUGCUGCUGCUACCUCUGUCUCUGAUGAAUUCUCAUUGACUGCCAGGGAUCUUGGGAGCCCUGAAUUUAUUUUGGUAGUGAUUUGAGCCAUGAAUGCANNNNNNNNNNCCAGAUGCUCUUGCUUUCUGGUACGCCCUUAAGCCAGGCUCAAACUUUUUGACAGUUCCCCACAUCCCAUGCCUUACUCCAAGCUUUGCAAUUUCCCAUGGUAUACCCAUUUCUUC